UCUCCCCUUCCUUAGUUUAAUUAAAUAUGCCCGAGGCUGGGUUGUGGGACCUGUGUUCUAAUCUUAUCUUGUGAAAUCUUAUGGUAAUGCCACCUGUAUAUGUUGCAAAUCGUGGAUUUUUUAUUUGACAAUUAAAAAUGUCGAGGUUUUUCAGAACUAUGUUGGAUAUUUAGAAAAACUGACUUCACGAUACUAGUAGGAAAGGCGCACAGUUACCGUGUGGUUAAUGACAUGGAAGCGAGGGAAGCCGAAGGAUUUGAUGCAAAUGGACGAAAUGAUGCGUCUGAUAUAUUGUGUGAAUUCCUGGAAGUUGCUGUUCAUUUUAUUCUUUACAUGAGAGAAGUGUAUCCAGCUGGAAUUUUUGAAAAGCGUAUGAAAUACAAUGUGGCUGUGCAGAUGUCAUGCCAUCCAGAACUAAAUCAAUACAUACAAAAUGUUUUGUAUAGCAUCAAGCCUUGUUUGGAGAAGGGCGAAGUGGAAAAGUUUGCUGUUGCAAUUAUUGAUAAGGAGCUUCAUCCGCUAGAAAGAUUCGUGUUUGAGAUCAAAUCUGGCUAUGAUUUUGUAUCAUUAAGGAAAGAAGACCCAUGUUUCUUUAAAAUUGAGUCAACUUUGCGAGCCUUUUUGUUGAAAAUUGGUGUUUGUGAUGCAAUGUUGCAGCCAAAUCCUUCUGAUUGCCGAUUCUCGAUCAUGGUCUACACGAAGCAGUCGUCAGAAAUGAAGAUAGAAGAAUCUGAUGAUACUCAGGCAUUUGCAUGGAUAAAUGUUGAAAAAAAUGAAGCAGAGAUGGAAUCGCCGUGGAUUAUUCCACUAAAAUCAAAUUCAUCGCAGUUCUUUAAAAUGCAGUUAUUUGUGGAAGAGUCUCGCACUAAAGACACUUGACAUUCAUGGAAUGAAAAUAACAAAUGAUGCUGAGUCGGUUCCCGGUGGUUCGAGAGUCAUAGGAUGUACAACACGGGAGAUAUUGAUGCUCAAAAUUUGCCACGGCUUUCCCAUCACUACUGAUCAUGGAACGCUACCUGUAACACAGAAUAGAUACCACCAGAAGGGCCACUCUCGUCGGAACCUUUGAAGAUUUUGUUGUCAACUUUUAGCCCGCAAUCAGGCAUCGCCGCCAUGUUGGCAGCAAGAUAACUUCAGCAAGUUCGUAAUAGAAAAUAUAGUAAUGAGAAACAGUUCGGCGCGUCCUCGACAAUUAUAUGGCUAUUCCAUUUUUGUUUUGUGUAUGCCAUCACGAGCAAUGUCAAAGAAGGUAAUUUUGACAACUUAGGUCGAAUCGCAUCGUUAGAAUACACGUUUUAGAGUCAAAAUUUGUUAUUGUGGUCUUAUGCUUUUGCCAACUUGCCAACAUUCAAUCAUGGUUAUGCUUGUAUUGCGAGCUACAAUGAAAAGGAUCAUCAACUUUGUCUAUGGAAUUUUCCUUGUAGUAAGUUUGUAGAAUGUUACAAAUGCUUGACUUUAAUGUACUUUCGCGAUCUUUUAUUAGAAGAGGAAAACUCGCGAUUUGCAAAUUUGUUGCCGUAAUAAAUUCGCAUUGUUAAAAAAAGUUUGACCAAAUAUUGCAGUGGAAACUGUGAACAUGUACGGAAUGGCACUGGUAUCAUGUUAAGACUCUUCAAGAUGCUCUUUCCAACAUUCAGAUUUUUGGUUGUGACUGAGAAGCAAUCCACGAAGGUGUCUUCAAGUUGCAUAAUGUAAUUUAAAUAGCACGAUGAAGGAGCAGUCAGCCCACCAAAGUUGAGUUCUUUAUAUGCCUUGAAAUAGCAAAGCAAAUUGCCAUCAUUGUUUAUGUUAUUUGAAGUCAAAACGUUCUUACAUUGGAGACAGCUGUGGAUUUUGAAAGCUUUGCUUAGCAAAUAUCCUGAAACAUAGGCAGCAGCAUUUUUGAGCAAUAAAUUGUUGCUAAUAUUUUGUUCUCGGUAGUCAUUUCACCAAUCAACAGUGAGUUACUUGGAGCUUUUGCAUGGAACAGUUUCCUUUGGAAGAGGUCAAAAGUGAACUAAAAAAAACCUUUCGAAAAGCUCUGAUAAAUUGUAUUGGCGUGGGAUUGUCAGAAUUACCUCCUUGCUGGCGUAUUGUUCCAAAAAAAUUCUCUAGAGCAUCUGUGUUUAAUCUUCUGUGUGGAACUAUUGAUGCAAUCGAAAAGUGAAUCAAAUUUGAAAAGCAAGUCAGCUGUACCCAAGGCUGAUGGUGGUAGUGCUCCAAUAGAUGAAUAUGUGCAAAUUGAUGCAGCAAUGGUGUGGCUGAAUAUUUGUGUAGCAUAUUUAACUUGAAAAUUAAUCUGAAAAUUAAUGCAGCGACAGCGAUGUAACGAAAAUAACAAUAUAUAUAUAUUAAUAGAAGCAAGAGGACAAUUUUAUUUCCUUACAACGGAAUCAAUACUUUAAAUUAUCUAAAACAUGACAAAUAUAAGGAACAUAUAGUUAAGAGCAUCUGGAAGUUAGCUACAAUCAUACAAUAUAAGAAUUUUCCCAACACAAUAUGGCAUUGGCAUUAAAUACAAUUGCACAAGUUUGCAAUUUCUCAAUGAA
Molecule: RNA transcript, 2528 nt
Organism: Xenia sp. Carnegie-2017
Lineage: Eukaryota; Metazoa; Cnidaria; Anthozoa; Malacalcyonacea; Xeniidae
Gene name: mitotic spindle assembly checkpoint protein MAD2B-like
Exons: 12
Source: RefSeq, a predicted model, not a curated record